This 857-nucleotide ribosomal RNA is filed under the name Cetrariastrum dubitans. Its description in RNAcentral is "eukaryotic LSU rRNA". It matches the Rfam family "Eukaryotic large subunit ribosomal RNA", at positions 71 to 944 of the family's 3401-position model. The record is from RNAcentral. Lineage: Eukaryota; Fungi; Ascomycota; Lecanoromycetes; Lecanorales; Parmeliaceae.
GGGAUUGCCUCAGUAACGGCGAGUGAAGCGGCAACAGCUCAAAUUUGAAAUCUGGCCCCUUCGGGGUCCGAGUUGUAAUUUGUAGAGAGUGUUUCGGGUGAGACCACGGUCUAAGUCCAUUGGAACAUGGCGUCAUAGAGGGUGAGAAUCCCGUAUGUGACUGUGGCUCGAGCCCAUGUGAAGCCUCUUCGACGAGUCGAGUUGUUUGGGAAUGCAGCUCUAAAUGGGUGGUAAAUUUCAUCUAAAGCUAAAUACUGGCUGGAGACCGAUAGCGCACAAGUAGAGUGAUCGAAAGAUGAAAAGCACUUUGGAAAGAGAGUUAAACAGUACGUGAAAUUGUUGAAAGGGAAGCGCUGGCAACCAGACCUGCCCGUAGGCGAUCAGCCGCUGUUCUCAGCGGUGCACUCGUUCUGCGAUCAGGCCAGCAUCGGUUUUGGCGGCCGGAUAAAGGCCCGGGGAACGUAGCUCCCUCCCGGGGGAGUGUUAUAGCCUCGGGCGCAAUGCGGCCAGCCGGGACCGAGGACCGCGCUUCGGCUAGGAUGCUGGCGUAAUGGUUGUCAGCGACCCGUCUUGAAACACGGACCAAGGAGUCUAACAUCUAUGCGAGUGUUUGGGUGUCAAACCCAUGCGCGGAAUGAAAGUGAACGGAGGUGAGAACCCUUUAGGGCGCAUCAUCGACCGAUCCAGAUGUCUUCGGAUGGAUUUGAGUAUGAGCAUAGCUGUUGGGACCCGAAAGAUGGUGAACUAUGCCUGAAUAGGGUGAAGCCAGAGGAAACUCUGGUGGAGGCUCGCAGCGGUUCUGACGUGCAAAUCGAUCGUCAAAUUUGGGUAUAGGUGCGAAAGACUAAUCGACCAUU